AUAAUAUAUAGAAUUCUCUAUUCUAAACACCAUCAGAGUACUUGUACUUGUUGCUUCCGUGAGCAGUGAGCCCAGUGCUCGCAUUCUCAUUUGAUUGGGUACUCGCGGGAGGUGAUCUUAAACUCCCUGUAUUCAUGUGACAUCUGUCUGAAUUUGUUAAAUGAAAUGUUA
Molecule: unclassified non-coding RNA, 171 nt
Filed under: uncultured fungus
Lineage: Eukaryota; Fungi
Description: sequence contains ITS1
Source: RNAcentral